Molecule: ribosomal RNA, 377 nt
Filed under: uncultured bacterium
Lineage: Bacteria
Description: bacterial SSU rRNA
Rfam family: Bacterial small subunit ribosomal RNA
Source: RNAcentral
AUACGUAGGUGGCAAGCGUUGUCCGGAAUUAUUGGGCGUAAAGCGCGCGCAGGCGGUCCUUUAAGUCUGAUGUGAAAUCACGUGGCUCAACCACGUGCGGUCAUUGGAAACUGGAGGGCUUGAGUGCAGAAGAGGAAAGUGGAAUUCCAAGUGUAGCGGUGAAAUGCGUAGAGAUUUGGAGGAACACCAGUGGCGAAGGCGACUUUCUGGUCUGUAACUGACGCUGAGGCGCGAAAGCGUGGGGAGCAAACAGGAUUAGAUACCCUGGUAGUCCACGCCGUAAACGAUGAGUGCUAAGUGUUAGGGGGUUUCCGCCCCUUAGUGCUGCAGCAAACGCAUUAAGCACUCCGCCUGGGGAGUACGGUCGCAAGACUGAA